UUAUGCAAAGUUUUCGCUACAUUUGUGGU
This 29-nucleotide small RNA is filed under the name Bombyx mori (domestic silkworm). RNAcentral's name for it is "ovarian small RNA-9457". The record is from RNAcentral. Lineage: Eukaryota; Metazoa; Arthropoda; Insecta; Lepidoptera; Bombycidae.